RNAcentral lists this transfer RNA (72 nucleotides) under Haemonchus contortus (barber pole worm). RNAcentral's name for it is "tRNA, Pseudo". The record is from RNAcentral. Lineage: Eukaryota; Metazoa; Nematoda; Chromadorea; Rhabditida; Trichostrongylidae.
UUCCCAACCCAGGGAUCAAACCCAGGUCUCCCGCAUUGCAGGCAGAUUCUUUACCAGCUGAGCCACAAGGGA